Molecule: long non-coding RNA, 462 nt
Organism: Eurytemora carolleeae
Lineage: Eukaryota; Metazoa; Arthropoda; Copepoda; Calanoida; Temoridae
Exons: 3
Source: RefSeq, a predicted model, not a curated record
AUCAGAAUGCGUGUUUCUGCGUAAUUCUGCGUAAUCCUGUACACUCUUUACACUCCUGGUAAAUGCAUUAUAACAUACCAACCAGAUUUUAGGAUAGACUUAAGUAAUGCCGUGAAGUACAAACUUUAUACAACUGCCGAGUGUGAUAUUACGAUAAUUAGUCAAUUUUUACUUAUUUAUUUGUUUGUUUAUUUAUUUUUUAUUUGCUACCAUUAUAUACAGUUGGAAUUCUAAGAAAAAGCAGUAAUCUUGAAUUCCAACUGUUUCAAGUAAAUAAAAUGUCACUGAAAGUGAAAAUAAGUAUUUUAUUUUAUGUUUUCUUUUGACUUUUAUGAAUUUUAUUCGUGUAUGUGAUAUCCCGUCAUUUCAUUGUCAUCAUCAGCUUUUAUUCUCUUAAAAUCUGAUAACAUGUAAUUCUAUAUCUAAUAUAUAUCAUUAUCAAAUAAAGAUACUUUCAUUAGA